AGUGUGCUGGAGGUAUCAGAAGUGCGAAUGCUGACAUGAGUAACGAUAAUGUGGGUGAAAAGCCCACACGCCGGAAGUCCCAGGUUUCCUGCACGACGUUAAUCGGAGCAGGGUGAGUCGGCCCCUAAGGCGAGGCUGAAGAGCGUAGUCGAUGGGAACCAGGUUAAUAUUCCUGGACUUUUUAUAAGUGGUGAAGUGGGGACGAAGAAGGCUAGGUGAGCCAGGCGUUGGUUGUCCUGGUACUUGCAUGUAGGGGGGAAGACUUGGCAAAUCCGGUUUUCCAUAACUCUGAGGUGCGAAGUGGUUCUGACCUUUUGGUACAGAGAAGUCAUUGAUGCCCGGCUUCCAGGAAAAGCUGCUAGCCAUAACUUAUAGAGAACCGUACCGCAAACCGACACAGGUGGACAGGUAGAGAAUACUAAGGCGCUUGAGAGAACUCGGGUGAAGGAACUAGGCAAAAUGGUACCGUAACUUCGGGAGAAGGUACGCCCUUUCUGGUGAUGGGAUUUACUUUCAGAGCUGGAGAGGGCCGCAGAGACCAGGUGGCUGCGACUGUUUAUUAAAAACACAGCACUCUGCAAAUUCGUAAGAAGACGUAUAGGGUGUGACGCCUGCCCGGUGCCGGAAGGUUAAUUGAUGGGGUUAUCUUCGGAGAAGCUCUUGAUCGAAGCCCCGGUAAACGGCGGCCGUAACUAUAACGGUCCUAAGGUAGCGAAAUUCCUUGUCGGGUAAGUUCCGACCUGCACGAAUGGCGUAACGAUGGCCACACUGUCUCCACCCGAGACUCAGUGAAAUUGAAAUCGCUGUGAAGAUGCAGUGUACCCGCGGCUAGACGGAAAGACCCCGUGAACCUUUACUAUAGUUUUGCACUGGACUUUGAUGAUGACUGUGUAGGAUAGGUGGGAGGCUGUGAAGUGAGGACGCUAGUUCUCAUGGAGCCGCCCUUGAAAUACCACCCUGUUGUUAUUGAGGUUCUAACUUGGUCCAGUAAUCCUGGAUGAGGACAGUGUAUGAUGGGUAGUUUGACUGGGGCGGUCUCCUCCCAAAGAGUAACGGAGGAGCACAAAGGUACCCUCGGUACGGUCGGACAUCGUACCAAGAGUGUAAAGGCAAAAGGGUGCUUGACUGCGAGAGUGACGGCUCGAGCAGGAACGAAAGUUGGUCUUAGUGAUCCGGUGGUUCUGAAUGGAAGGGCCAUCGCUCAACGGAUAAAAGGUACUCCGGGGAUAACAGGCUGAUACCGCCCAAGAGUUCAUAUCGACGGCGGUGUUUGGCACCUCGAUGUCGGCUCAUCACAUCCUGGGGCUGAAGCAGGUCCCAAGGGUAUGGCUGUUCGCCAUUUAAAGUGGUACGCGAGCUGGGUUUAGAACGUCGUGAGACAGUUCGGUCCCUAUCUGCCGUGGGCGUAGGAAAAUUGAGAGGAGCUGCUCCUAGUACGAGAGGACCGGAGUGGACGAACCUCUGGUGCACCGGUUGUCACGCCAGUGGCAUGGCCGGGUAGCUAAGUUCGGACGGGAUAACCGCUGAAAGCAUCUAAGCGGGAAGCCUCCCUCAAGAUGAGUUUUCCCAUGAAGCCCGUUGAAGACUACGACGUUGAUAGGCAAGGUGUGGAAGCGCAGUAAUGCGUGAAGCUAACUUGUACUAAUUGGCUGAUUGUCUUGACCAU
RNAcentral lists this ribosomal RNA (1666 nucleotides) under Legionella pneumophila. Its description in RNAcentral is "partial 23S ribosomal RNA". It matches the Rfam family "Bacterial large subunit ribosomal RNA", at positions 1267 to 2925 of the family's 2925-position model. The record is from RNAcentral. Lineage: Bacteria; Pseudomonadati; Pseudomonadota; Gammaproteobacteria; Legionellales; Legionellaceae.